This 840-nucleotide long non-coding RNA is filed under the name Gouania willdenowi (blunt-snouted clingfish). RNAcentral's name for it is "lncRNA (ENSGWIG00000006209.1)". Lineage: Eukaryota; Metazoa; Chordata; Actinopteri; Blenniiformes; Gobiesocidae. The record is from RNAcentral.
CUGGCUGGAUGAGUUUAGCCUUUGGUUACAUUCACGCCAAGGCUUGUGUUUAUAAUAUCACCCUUUUGUAAAUAGUUAAUUUAGGUGAUUAAUCACAGCUGGCCUUUGCAUCUUUUUAGAUUGUAGAUUUAAUUUUUUGUUUCUUUAUGACGGGCCACAGUGGGCGUGAUUCUCCCGUCACUCUCGUAAACAGGUAUGUAUGUUUAGGUAUAGUUAGGUUUUUAAGAGUUUAGAGAUUACGUUUUUAUUCCCAGCAUGUUUGAGACACAAGAGGCAUCAGCAGAGGAUGAAGACUUCUAUCAAUCAAAACUAUUGUCCCACAAUCAGCCCCAGGAGGAGACGCCAGCAGAGGAAAGAAACAAUAUUAACCAAAACAAUAAUUCACUGAUUGAGAACAAGGAAGAUGGAAGAGUACCAUCAUCUACCAAUGGAGGAGGAGGAAGAGGAGAAAAAUGGGGGAGCACCAGCAUCCAAAAGUGUCCCACAAUCAGCCCCAGGAGGAGAUAUCAGCAGAGGAAAGAAAGACUAUUAACCAAAACAAUGUAAGUAAAACACUGAUCACAUGUUUAAUGUAUAAAUAGACGUCACGUUUUACUAAUGCCUGUAAAAUGUUGGAGAGGAACGCCAACAUCCACUGAUGGAGGAGAAGAAAGAUGGAGGACGGGAGUGCCAGCAUCUACCAAUGGAGGAGAAGAAAUACUUUUAUUAACCAAAACAAUGUAAGUAAAACCUCUCAUUUACACAUAAAGACACUGAUCACAUAUUUAAUGUAUAAAUAGAAGUCACGUUUUACUAACACCUGUAAAAUGUUGGACUUGAUCACCAGCAUCCACUGAUGGA